Molecule: non-coding RNA, 45 nt
Organism: Schistosoma mansoni
Lineage: Eukaryota; Metazoa; Platyhelminthes; Trematoda; Strigeidida; Schistosomatidae
Source: Rfam
AUCUGGCUGACGAUUCCCAAAUAGGACGAAACGCGCGUCCUGGAU